Long non-coding RNA from Gallus gallus (chicken), 2784 nucleotides. The record is from Ensembl. Lineage: Eukaryota; Metazoa; Chordata; Aves; Galliformes; Phasianidae.
CUUAAACCAAUGAUUGAGCACCUGGUGGGAAGGCAGGGCCAACAAAGGGGAGCUCAGCUGUAUGCAAUGCAACUGAGUGACUGGAAGGGGUGGGACCAGGAUUCACCCCCUCCCAGACUUCAUUUAAGGGUUGGCAGUGGAAGCAGAGACAUAUUGCUGGAGAUCUCUGUGUAUCUAAGGCUUUCUGAAGAAACAGAAGUAUUUUUCAAAGAGAAGGCACUGCUCAGAGGGGUGGACUUCUGUUUGCUGUGGACCAUCUCAGACCUCAGUUUAACUCUUCCUGAGUAUCCAUAGCUCCAGAGGCAGUGAGGCUGCUCAUUCAAGCUGCUGUUGCAGAACGUGCAGUGUAACCAAACAGCAACAAAAAUCAGGAUCUUUGAUAUCACUGGAGUACAUCAGCAACUGAAAAUAAAGAGCGAGAUGCUUGGCAUGGGGGUGCACACAACCUGUUACAAGUCUUUUCACACAGGGCCAGGUGCCACAGGGAAAGCCGGGAGAGAAACAACCGUUCACUGUGGACAAAGCUAUAAGACUGCAUUCCUGCCUGGAAAACCUCUGCAACUACAGUCAAGUGACAACACCUUUCCGUUGAAGCAGUUUCACACGUGCCAGAAACUGCUACACAAUGCCAUAAGCAGCAAAGAAGCUGAGCAGGAGGUGACUUGAAACAGUUUCAGUACAGUAUGCAUCCUGGCAGAAAUUCCUGAAUAACGUUACAGAGUUGCUGUGGCUCAUGCUGGAGCUAUCUUUCCUUCGAUGACGAGGGACGUAAUCCAUCUGCAUCCCAACUGGACUGCGAGGAUUAAUUAACGUUCACAAUGGGCUAUGAGUUCCUUGCAUGCUAUUGAAGUGGAAAUUAUUAUUUGUUACAGCCAGUCUGAAUGCCAUAUGGGAUUUCCACGUCAGGGUUUCAGCUCUGUUGUGCAUCAACAAGCUUGAACUGGUACCAUGAAGAAAAGAUUAGCAUUACAUUUCGUUGUUGUGUAUUUGGUGCUGCGUCUACCUAAGGACAAAUAUUUCCUGAGAAGCAGAGCUCUGCAAAACUGAACUCCAUGGUCUUUUCUGUAGCUCAAAGCCUGCAACAUCCCUUUCCAUCUGCUGCGCUUCUACUCUGGUACGGGCUGAAGCCACAGAGUAGUGGAUUCCUUGGAACUUCUCAGCCAUGUUUGUUUGUUAUUGCCUUCAAGUCAGCUUUGGGAGUCUGUGCAAGAAAUAAAGGUAGAAUCUGGCUCUGCAUUUUGCAACAGAUGCUUUUCCCCAUGUAGUAGAUUUGUACCUUUGUGCUACUUCAGGGACUGAGUAAAAUGGACUCAUCAUGCCUGAAACUCAAGUCAGAGAUGUGUGAUGCAUAGCCAUUCCACAAUAUUCUUCUAUGCUUGCAACACCUACAAAAUAGAACCUAAAACGUACUUUGCUAGUUUGCAGGGGCAAAUGAAUUUGUUACUUUGCUUCUAUGCAUCAGCUUUAGUUUAGCUUAGAGCGCAUUUUAAAACACUCCUGUGACAUCAGUCCUUGCAAGCCCUUACAAACAAACCAGUUUUAAAUGAGUGUGGGAAUUCCUGCAGUAUUAUGACAGACACUCAUCACUGACAGAGGAAACAAAUAAAAUCUAAUUGCCCAGUUUGCUUGUGAGGGUUCCCUGGAAAAGAUCAGCCAUCAAACAGUUUGAAAUUAGCUUCCUAGCUGAAGGAUUCUCUUUUGUUUCUCACACAAAUAAACGGGGAUGCUUGGCUUUCCAAAACAGGCACUGUUAAAGAGAUACAAGUAUAGAGUUCUCACCACAUACAUUUUAUAUAUAUAUAUAUAUAUAUUAACAUUUAGCUGGCAGGUUUCAGUUUUAUAGGUAAGACUCCAAUUCUGAUCACUAAACACAUGCCAAAAGUUAGAUGCAAUCCCAAUGAGCUUCUUGCACACCCACACCCCUGUAGCGUUAUUCUUCUCAACCUUCUAAGCAUCCCCUCCGAUUUUGUGAACAACCACAAAGCAUGUUUGGCAGUAAUUCUGCUGUAACUGCUCUUCUGUGAGGAUGUUACAACAGAUCAGUUGAAAGCAAAGUUAAAUACAACGAAAGUAAAUACAAAACAGUAUCAAAGCAAAAGAUGUAGGGGUGUAGGAAAAACAAACAAACAUAAUGUCAGGAAAAAAAAAGACAGGUUUGGAGAUGAGAGAUUAUGGGAGUGAUGCAAGAAGAACAGGGAUGGAUAGAGAAGGGACUAGGAAUGAAAAUAAAAGAAUGACACAGGAGAAACUGACAUCAACGUUUUUAUUACAAGAUAAGUGCAAGUUACUGUCAUUAUAGCUUCUCUAAUUAUCUUUCAACCUUUUUUUUUUUCAAUAUAUAUAUACAUGAUGUCCAUAUGUUGCAAAUAACAGGGUUUUAUGACUUUUGUUCUCUCACCUUUCCCAUAGCUUACAUUCCAUUUUAAUUGCUACACUGAUAUCAGAUGCUUCACUUAAUGAUCUUGCACCAGUGCUCCCUAUUUGUGGUGAUAACGCUCUUGGGGGAGCAAAACCACCUGCCUCGUGGUUGUAGGCUACGUGCUGUUCUCGUGGACGUCCACUAGAUGGCAAAGCCGGUAUUUUUGUUGAGUUUACAUGCCACCUUCAGCUAAUAACUAACCCUAGGGUAUGUGCACAGGCUAAAAAUGGCGAUUAAAGGACACCGAAUGGUGUCUCCGUGGAAAAGAGUGUAUUUCCUAGGGUUAAUAACAAAACAGGAGAAUGAAAGACUCAGUUAUAAAAUGGUGAUGCUCUCAGGAAAGCACAGUGUUCUCUCUAUUCUCU